UAUGACACAUAUGCGUAGUUGGACCAUCCAACACCAUAGGAUCCAACCACAAUAUGUGUGAUAGU
This 65-nucleotide microRNA precursor is filed under the name Caenorhabditis brenneri. Lineage: Eukaryota; Metazoa; Nematoda; Chromadorea; Rhabditida; Rhabditidae. The record is from RNAcentral.